This 73-nucleotide transfer RNA is filed under the name Patiria miniata (bat star). RNAcentral's name for it is "tRNA-Gly". It matches the Rfam family "tRNA". Rfam says of the family: Transfer RNA (tRNA) molecules are approximately 80 nucleotides in length. Lineage: Eukaryota; Metazoa; Echinodermata; Asteroidea; Valvatida; Asterinidae. The record is from Rfam by way of RNAcentral.
GGCUGGAUAGCUCAGUUGGUAGAGCACCGGAACACCAAUCCGGAGGUCGCAGGUUCAAACCCCACUCCAGUCA